This 97-nucleotide small RNA is filed under the name Prolemur simus (greater bamboo lemur). RNAcentral's name for it is "Y RNA (ENSPSMG00000015734.1)". It matches the Rfam family "Y RNA". Rfam says of the family: Y RNAs are components of the Ro ribonucleoprotein particle (Ro RNP), in association with Ro60 and La proteins. Lineage: Eukaryota; Metazoa; Chordata; Mammalia; Primates; Lemuridae. The record is from RNAcentral.
UAUUAUAAUAGAAGCAAAAUUUACACAGUCAGUUACAGAUAGAACUCCUUGUUCUACUACUUUCCCCCUCCUCACUACUGCACUUGACUAGUAUUAA